Non-coding RNA from Pelobates cultripes (western spadefoot toad), 530 nucleotides. NCBI's taxonomy places the organism in Eukaryota, Metazoa, Chordata, Amphibia, Anura, Pelobatidae. The record is from the annotation of a GenBank genome assembly.
GGAAAGGGUAUUCAUAUAGCAGUCUAAUUGCCAGUGUCUGUCUUCGCGGGCGUUUUGCCAACUUUUACACUGGCCACUGAAUGGCACCCUAGCACUAUGAAUUUCACUUUGUAAUAUUUACACUUUGCUUUACUUUCUCUAUAUUCCUAUGCCUGUCUAGUUAGUUUACCAAGGAGAGAGGCUUUUUAAUUUUAUAUACAUGGCAGUUCAUUUUUGACUGACCAUUUGUUUCUACUACUCCUUUUUCUGUACUUUCCAUUUGGGUCUCUCCCCAAUGGACUACUCUGGACUUUCAUUUCCUGUAUAUAUGUAAGGUCUGCUGUCUUGCAAGAUCUCCCUCCAUAUAUGGUUUGAUUUUAUAUAAACCAUCUGUGGUAAUUGCAUAUACCUUCAGCAGACAUAUAUUCCAUUGAUUUCACUAUAUAAUACGGAUACAGGACAUUUGUGGGUUUUUUGCACUUAGGAAGACAGACACUGGCAAUUAGACUGCUAUAUGAAUACCCUUUCCUAUUUAGUAUAUGUAUCUCAUU